AGUGAACGCUGGCGGUAGGCCUAACACAUGCAAGUCGAACGGCAGCACAGUAAGAGCUCGCUCUUACGGGUGGCGAGUGGCGGACGGGUGAGGAAUACAUCGGAAUCUACUUUUUCGUGGGGGAUAACGUAGGGAAACUUACGCUAAUACCGCAUACGACCUACGGGUGAAAGCAGGGGAUCUUCGGACCCUGCGCGAUUGAAUGAGCCGAUGUCGGAUUAGCUAGUUGGCGGGGUAAAGGCCCACCAAGGCGACGAUCCGUAGCUGGUCUGAGAGGAUGAUCCGCCACACUGGAACUGAGACACGGUCCAGACUCCUACGGGAGGCAGCAGUGGGGAAUAUUGGCCAAUGGGCGCAAGCCUGAUCCAGCCAUACCGCGUGGGUGAAGAAGGCCUUCGGGUUGUAAAGCCCUUUUGUUGGGAAAGAAAAGCAGCAGGUUAAGACCCCGCUGUUCUGACGGUACCCAAAGAAUAAGCACCGGCUAACUUCGU
Molecule: ribosomal RNA, 491 nt
Filed under: uncultured bacterium
Lineage: Bacteria
Description: partial 16S ribosomal RNA
Rfam family: Bacterial small subunit ribosomal RNA
Source: RNAcentral